Molecule: long non-coding RNA, 220 nt
Organism: Clupea harengus (Atlantic herring)
Lineage: Eukaryota; Metazoa; Chordata; Actinopteri; Clupeiformes; Clupeidae
Source: RefSeq, a predicted model, not a curated record
GGCCUCCCGAUCUGUGGAGGGAAAGCCCAGCCCUUCUUUCAUGUCGCCCCCAUGGAAUUUCUGAUUGAUUCCAUAUCACUCUGAAAAACCUCGUGAUUACCAUAGAGAACGUAUUUAAACGGGAGUAUUGUAUUACAUAGGGUUGUAUGUAGACUACUAAUGGGAAAGGGCUGUCAGCUGUCAUUCUCAACCGACAGGGAUUUUCACAUGGCCAUCAUGG